CUCUUAAUUGGAUGCUGAGACACAUGCUUGCAGCCUUGACAUUGCAGCCUCAGAACAAUCUUCUUAGUAGUUUUGGCCUUCUUGUGAAAAACAGGCUUUGUCUGACCUCCAUAACCUGACUGCUUGCGAUCAUAACGCCUUUUCCCUUGUGCAGCAAGGCUAUCCUUGCCCUUCUUGUAUUGUGUAACCUUAUGCAAAGU
This 200-nucleotide unclassified non-coding RNA is filed under the name Hevea brasiliensis (rubber tree). The record is from RNAcentral. Lineage: Eukaryota; Viridiplantae; Streptophyta; Magnoliopsida; Malpighiales; Euphorbiaceae.